Molecule: small nucleolar RNA, 107 nt
Filed under: Olea europaea subsp. europaea
Lineage: Eukaryota; Viridiplantae; Streptophyta; Magnoliopsida; Lamiales; Oleaceae
Description: Plant small nucleolar RNA R71
Rfam family: Plant small nucleolar RNA R71
About the family: R71 is a member of the C/D box family of snoRNAs containing the C (UGAUGA) and D (CUGA) box motifs. Multiple nearly identical copies of this snoRNA have been identified in Arabidopsis, and it is thought to function as a 2'-O-ribose methylation guide for 18S ribosomal RNA.
Source: Rfam by way of RNAcentral
AUGCCGUGGUGUGGACACUUUCGCAGCAUAUUCUUGAACUGAUUCCAGGCUUCAUCGAAAUUUUUUGAGUCUUCUUGGCGAAAAAUAGAGAUGUUGUGCUUGAGCUU